AUGAACGCUGGCGGCGUGCCUAAUACAUGCAAGUCGAGCGAACAGACGAGGAGCUUGCUCCUCUGACGUUAGCGGCGGACGGGUGAGUAACACGUGGAUAACCUACCUAUAAGACUGGGAUAACUUCGGGAAACCGGAGCUAAUACCGGAUAAUAUAUUGAACCGCAUGGUUCAAUAGUGAAAGACGGUUUUGCUGUCACUUAUAGAUGGAUCCGCGCCGCAUUAGCUAGUUGGUAAGGUAACGGCUUACCAAGGCGACGAUGCGUAGCCGACCUGUGAGGGUGAUCGGCCACACUGGAACUGAGACACGGUCCAGACUCCUACGGGAGGCAGCAGUAGGGAAUCUUCCGCAAUGGGCGAAAGCCUGACGGAGCAACGCCGCGUGAGUGAUGAAGGUCUUCGGAUCGUAAAACUCUGUUAUUAGGGAAGAACAAAUGUGUAAGUAACUAUGCACGUCUUGACGGUACCUAAUCAGAAAGCCACGGCUAACUACGU
RNAcentral lists this ribosomal RNA (495 nucleotides) under uncultured bacterium. RNAcentral's name for it is "partial 16S ribosomal RNA". It matches the Rfam family "Bacterial small subunit ribosomal RNA", at positions 29 to 506 of the family's 1533-position model. The record is from RNAcentral.